UUCGUAGGCGGCCCGAUAAGUCAGAGGUGAAAUCUAACGGCUUAACCGUUAGCCUGCCUUUGAAACUGUCAGGCUUGAGUAUUGGAGAGGAAAGCGGAAUUCUUGGUGUAGCGGUGAAAUGCGUGGAUAUCAAGAGGAACACCCGUGGCGAAAGCGGCUUUCUGGCCAAAUACUGACGCUGAGGAACGAAAGCUAGGGGAGCGAACAGGAUUAGAUACCCUGGUAGUCC
This 229-nucleotide ribosomal RNA is filed under the name uncultured bacterium. Its description in RNAcentral is "partial 16S ribosomal RNA". It matches the Rfam family "Bacterial small subunit ribosomal RNA", at positions 568 to 796 of the family's 1533-position model. The record is from RNAcentral.